Molecule: ribosomal RNA, 517 nt
Filed under: uncultured bacterium
Lineage: Bacteria
Description: bacterial SSU rRNA
Rfam family: Bacterial small subunit ribosomal RNA
Source: RNAcentral
GACGAACGCUGGCGGCGUGGAUUAGGCAUGCAAGUCGGACGGUAGGGCUUUAUCGUAAGAUAGAGUUUGAGAGUGGCGAACGGGUGAGGUAACACGUAGGAAUCUACCCUUAAGACGGGGGACAACCCAGGGGAAACUUGGGCUAAUACCGGAUGAGAGUGCGAGAGAUUGCAUUUAAAAGGUGGCGAAAGUUGUCGCUUAGGGGAUGAGCCUGUCGGUCUAUUAGUUAGUUGGUGAGGUAAGAGCUCACCAAGGCGAUGAUAGAUAGGCGGCCUUAACGGGUGGUCGCCCACACUGGGGAUUGAGAUACGGCCCAGACUCCUACGGGAGGCAGCAGUCGAGAAUAGUCUACAAUGGGCCGGAAAGGCUGAUAGUGCGACGCCGCGUGAACGAGGGAGCCCUUCGGGGGUGUAAAGUUCUUUUCUAUACGAGCAGUGCUAUAUAUAUGGAUAGUAUAUAUAGAGGGAUAGUAGUAUAGGAAUUAAGCAACGGCUAAACUCCGUGCCCAGCAGCCCGG